Molecule: long non-coding RNA, 7119 nt
Filed under: Lotus japonicus
Lineage: Eukaryota; Viridiplantae; Streptophyta; Magnoliopsida; Fabales; Fabaceae
Description: long non-coding RNA (LJAP_LNC000351)
Source: RNAcentral
AAACCCUUAUCUGUUUGUGCGACCACCGUUCCAUUCGCCAUCGGCUGUGACAUUGUCGAGGAUUCGCAGGCCUCCCCUGUAGCUCUCUCUGGUUUUUCCAUUGUGACGCAUAUGGUAAGAUUUUUAAACCAAUUUCAUCACUGUUUCCAUGCAUAGUUAACAAGAUGUGAAACUGGACUUCAUGGAAUUGAUUUCUUUGGUGAUUAAGCUGAUUUCCCCUAAUUGAUUCUAGCAUAGUAGCAUUUUUGAAUAUUUUCUUAGGUGUUGUAGUGACCAAUUAACCUUAUCAACCUCUAGCAGUAACUACAAUAGCCAAAUAGAAGACAAAAAUGCCAUUACUUCUUCUGUUGGUUUAUUUCCCACAACUUCACCAUACUUCUAUUCUGAUGCCAAUUUUGCUUAUAAUGAGUGUUUAUCGAGAAUAUCUGAAAUCUAGAACUAGGCGCCAAAAAUAUAGAGAUUAGCAUAAAUGUGGUGAGGAUUGUCUAGUUACGAAUUUGGGACUGGUGUGGCCUAAUUCAAGGUUUGCUUGUGGAUGAUGGUACCUUGUAAACAACUUAAUUUACUUGUGAAUCUGAUAUGUUUGUUGAUAAUUGAAGAAGCAGAUAAGUGGUAGGAUUUAGAAAUAUUAGAAGUGGAAUGCAUGGACUAGUAAAACCGUAUGGUUUAUUACAUUGAUGGUUAGUACAACACUUAAGUCUUAGUGUUGCCACACAUACAUGGUGAGGCACUAAUGCCUAUUUAUAGCUGGAGUCACCGCCUUGAUUUUGGCGGUUUAUUAUAUGAUACAAUUGGAUCAUUCUAGAGUUUAGAAACAUCAAAAUAGUCUAUGUGCUUUCUAUAAUAGUGUAGAUUUUAAAAGAUAAUUCUAGAAAUUUGCAUCAAUUCUUAACAAUGUUUAACCUCUUACAUUUUCCUUCAAUGUAUACAUCUUAGCAAGCUAUCUCUAUGGUGGAGAUUUUGUAUGAUAAUUCGAUUAGCUCAUUAAGUUAAUUCAAUCAUGUUUCUGGGAAAUAACUUUUUGGUAUUUAAAUUAUUUCUGUAGCAUAGUCUUUAGGUUGAUUCUACUGCUUAAAUGAAAAUAUUCUGUCUGUGCUUUUUCCUUGCUUCAACUUGGGUGUGUGUUAAAAGCUUGCUCCUGUGGAUGUUGACAUGGCAAGGUUCUUGCUAACAAUCAGAAAUGUUUAUGUGCUCUUAUUUUAAAUGGUUGAACUCACUGGACAAGUUUUUGAAGUAAUAAAGUAAGAAACAAUUUUUUUAAAAAGGAUAUAAUUCUUGAAGAAGUCAAUUUAAUGUGAAGCUUAAAGAUUAGGAGGAGUGAUUUCAUUUGAUUAGCUCAUAGUUCUGAGUUUAUCUAAUGCUGGUUAUAGGUAUUAUGAUUACAUUUACUUGUAUAGACUGACUAAUUUAUUUCCUAUAUACAUUAGACCCCCAAAGUAUAAGCAAGAUAUCACACACACAGAAAUGGGGAUGAUGAGAAGAAAAAGAAUAUUGUUUUUGUUUCUAAUGACCAGAUGAGGAAUUGGGUGAAUGAGAUAGAACAUUAUGCUAUUCUGGUCAACAUACUGGUCUGGUCAAAUCUAAAAUCUUGUAGGCCACCUUUGAUCUGGGGUCUGUUAUGAUCGUGAAAGAUUAGCAAACCCUAACAUUGGUAGUUGCUUUGUUUCUUUGUUGGUUGUAUGUUUCUGGCUUCUUUUGAUAUGAAAAUAUUAUUUUUUGCAAGAGUUAAUCGCUUUAAUAUUUUUUUUCAGUAACACCUAGCAAAUUGAAAUGAGAGAGUUCUGCUUUGAAUUAUCUAUUUGGUUGGCAGUAAUUAGUAUGUCUAUGAAAUUUAACUUUCUCUGUUUUCCUUGGACUUCAUGGCAUAAGAAAAGUUCACAUAGGCGGUUAAAAAGGCAUAAAGCCACAUAAAAAUUAACUUGAACUCUUUGGCAUUUAAUUUAUCUUCUUUUCUACUUUCAGUACUCUAUGAAGACCCGGAACUUUAAAAUUAGAGCCACAUGGAAAUUUCAUCAUCCUAGAGACCAAGUUGGGAACUGAGAUCGCUGGAAGAGUUGCCUUAAGCAUUUUCACUGUGGUGUGAGAGUGUUGGCGGUUCACAGUCAAUGAUGUCAUGCUCAUAUCAUGGUCACUUCGGGUAAUUAACUUCAAAUAUUUUCAUUUUCUAUUUGCUUAUAUAUAGUUUCAUGAGAAUUUCUCAAAACUUAUGAAAAAGAUGGGAGUGUUUAGGUCACGGGUUCUUAAAUUAAGGUCUUGUUUUCUAGUUGUCGGUAUGUUUGGAUUGACAGAACAUAACAGAGCAGAACGAAUUGAAAUAUAAUGGAACAGAUAGAGCGGAAUGAAAUGGAAUAAAAAUCUCAUCCCAUUGUUUGGGUAUUUUAUGAUAACACGAAACAAAAUCACCACUCCCUUAUUUGGAUAAUGGACGGAGCGGAAUGAGUUAUAACUUUUUUAUUCCUAUAUUACCUUUCUUUAAAUAAUAAAAUUCUCAUUAAAUUAUUAAAAUGAUUAACAAAAUAAUUUUUUAGAGGAAUUAACAAAAUCAUUAUCCUUGCUAAACUCUCAUUAUAUCUAUUUACUCAAAUUAAAUUAUAUCCUCAUCAUUUAUCUACAGUAAACUAUACUAGUAUAUGCCAAUAUUUUUUUAUAAAACGUACUGAACAUAAUAGAACACUAUCGAAAAAAGUAAACGAAAAAUAAAAGAAUGCAACAGUUGGAAAAAAAAAUAGUUUGUUGACAAAUAAAAGAAUAUGUAUACAUUAGUAUUAAUAAUUAAAUAUGAACAGUAUCAUUAUAUUACCUUUCGUAAGCUGUAAUGUUUUAUUUUUGCUAGAUAUGUUAAAAUAAUGUUGGAACUUGGUUGUUUGUGUGAGGGGAGAGAGUAGAGACUCACGGAGAGAGAGUGGGAGAGAGUGGGAGAGACUAUUAAGUUAAGGGCUAGAAAUCUAGAAUUGUAAAUUGAUAAUUUUUAUAAGUGUAAAAUCUUGAUUUCAUCCCAUACCUUCCAAAUUGAGGGAAGCAAAAUGAUGGAAACUAAUCUCAUCUCAUUUCCAUCUCAUCCCACCUUUUCAUAACAUAUCCAAACAAUAGAACAUAAAAAUAUUUCACUCCAUCUCAUCUCACCCCACUCCCUGCCACCAAUCCAAAUAUAGCCUAAUGAUGGCAUAGUGUAUAUUUGACUGUGGAUAAAUGAUGAAGAUAUAAACUAAUUAGAGUAAAUAGAUAUGAUGAGAUUUUAGCAAGGUAAUUAUUUUGUUAAUUAUUUUUGUAGUUUAAUGAUAAUCUUUUAUUUUAAAGCAAAGGUAAUGUAGGAAUUAAAAAGUUAUAACUCAUUCCGCUCCAUCCAUUAUCCAAAAAGGGGCGUGGUAACUUUAAUUUGUUAUGUUCCAUCAUUAAAUACCCAAACAAUGGGAUGAGAUUUUUAUUCCAUUCUGUUCUGCUCCAUUAUAUUUCAUUACGUUCCGCUCCGUUAUGUUUCAUCAAUCCAGCCUAAAUGUUUGCAUAGAUUAACACAUCACGAUAGCAAAAUAACAAUAUAAGGAACAAUGGCUGAAAAUGGUGGGUGGAUGGUUGACCAAAAAUAUGUAUACUGCAUGUUUGCACAAACUAUAUAUUAAUUAAUCAGGUUCUAGUACUUUUUGAGAUAAAUAUGUUGAGAUUGAUACUUUGAGACACUAUUACAACACUAGUAGCAGAUUAGGUAGACCAUCACAACACGUUCAACAGAGGAAUAUGUAGCAGCAAAUGCUAGGAUAAGCUAACUUCAAUUUUAGAAUUGAGAACUUAAUUUUCAAGUAUACACUAUUUGUUCCCCUUCUUCAUGUAACUUUUGUCAUGGACAUGAUUAAAGUUGUAUAGUGCAAUUUCUCAAACUCAAUGGCUUGUGAAAUCUUGUGUGCAAACCUUGAGAAUAAUUCAUCCAUGAUACCUUUGCCAAAUGCGGCAGAGUAAAGUGGUUCCACGACGGAUCUGAGGGUCUUGGAAAUUAACUCUCCUUUAAUUUUGGUAUCCAUGUCAUGUGGAAGGUGUCCAUCCAAACUUAUUUGGAUAGUUUUCAGUGUUUGAAGGGUAAAAGAUCCUUCUGCCUCAAUUAUUUGUUUGACUUCCUCCACAGUAGGAAUAUAUAUAGGCAUAUUAAAGCAAUCUAAUUUAGUCUCUUCAAGCAAACCCUGCAUUUAUAUUAAUUUAUAGGGAACAAUAUUAGUUACUACCAAAUAGGAAUAACAUGUUAUAAACUACAGAAAAACAUUACAUUCCAGUUAGUUUCUUGAAAAUCUAGUAAUAAUGGUAAUCAAAAUUGUAUUCGUUGCAUACCUCCAAGACCAUGUCCUUCAGUACCAACUCAAUUAAGUCCUGCGUAGUACCCUUUUCAAAUGCAGCAUUUUCUCUUCCCAGUAAAGAUAGUACCAUACUUCCAUCAAGUGUUAGUUCGUUCGAACGUGAUCGAAGAAAUAGAUUGAAAUCUCUUUGGAAUUGCUCAAAAUAUGCUUUAUACACUAUUUUAGGACUUUUGAUUGUUAAAUAAAUAUGACCCUUGUUCAGUGGUUCUGCCCCUUUAGUCAAUUCUUCUGGAGACUGUUCCGGAAAAAGCAAUAGACACACACAAAUGAUAUUAUUUUGUGCUUUGCUUCACAAACACAACUUUAACAACUUUAAUAUAUAUAUUAAUAAAUACCUGCGAGAGCCAAUGAAGACUAUUCGAAGAAUGAAAGAAAUCGAUGUAAUUAUUAGGAAAGAGCCUCCCAUAGAAGUUCCCUGGAGUUGCAUUUAUAAAGCAUGCUCCAGCUUUGUCUCCCCUAUCUUGUAUCUUUUGGUAGAAAUCAGGAAGUAACUUGAAGAUACCAUUAAAAUCGUUUCCAAAAAGAUCACUAAGAUAAACUUGGAGUAUGGGCACCUCUUGCUUUGAGCCCAAUCUAGUUGUGUUGAUGACGCUCAUUAUAUCGGACACGACCAGAAGUGAAUUUGGUCCUGAAGAGCAUCCUAAAUCUGCCACUUUCAAAUUACUUUUAAAAGUGGUGUGAUGCAACAAUGUCUUAAUACUUUCUUCUAGUAUUGACUUCAUUUCAAAUAACACUUUUCUCUGCAAUAAAAAAAACUUGGUUACAACAAUGACGACGCCAACAAUAAUAAGCCAAAUGUUAUCCCAUAAUCUUAGGGACAGCUGUGAUAUAAAAAAUUCAAAAUGAUGAUCUGUAGGUUAUUAGCUGAAUCUGUUUUAUUUUGGCAUUCCUUGAGAUUUUCUCUAUGGUGUUAUGAUGUUAUAGGGAUGCCAUUUUAGAAACUGAGGUUUAUUUUGAAAUUUUUUGGGGUGGUGUUUUGGAUGAGAUUUUAUUGUAUAAGGUUGUAUAUCCGUCAUGAGAAUGGUUGUUUCUCAUGUUCUCUUAAUUUUAUGAAUAUAACUCUUGCUUUAAAAAGAAUUAUUUUUCAAUAAAAAAUUAUAUUUUCUAUAAUUUUUUUACCAGAAGUUCGAGGGAGAGUAGAAGUAGUAACAAGAAGAGAAUGCAUACAAUGGAAAAGUUCAAGGGAGCAUAUGAUUAUUGAGUAGGCAGCUGAGGUUCUUUCUCCCUUGAGAAAUUAAUCCGGUAAGUUAAAUAUUAAUUCGAUCUCUUUACUUACUAUUGACACCAAAAUAUUGGCUGAUGCAGAAUGGUUGUAAACUAAUUUAAUCGAGUCAAGGUUAGCUCAGAGCAGACAAGUUUAUUUUUUAUAUGCUAAAUAAUGAUAUUAAUGUGGAGCACAAGGGGUGCCCCAUCCGAUACAAAGGAAAAACAAAAGUCUAAAUAACAAGAAACAUCCUACAGCGUUCAAAUGAAGUAAAAAUCACAUACUCUAUAAAACUGACACAUUUCAACGGGCUUUGCCAACAAAUGAGAAGCGUUUUCGGAAUCCUUUGAGCUCUACGGCAGCAUGCUCCAGAUGUGGUUCCGAUUCAGAGGAUGCCAACCAUGUUUUUUGAGGAUGCCCUGACUCGCAGAACUUGUGGAGGAGCCUUGGUCCCUUGCUGCCGCGGCUUGACACUCAUGGGGACUUUGGAGCUUGGUUUGAUAUGCUUCUGUCACGUUGCAGCAAUAUUCUUCCCUUCGCAGUUUUAUGGUGGGCUUGGAAGUGGCGCAAUGAGUCUGUGCUAGGCACAAACUCAUGGCCACUGCAGUAUGUCCUAAGGCAGAUUAUAGUGGAUGCUCAGAGCUGGAAUCGGUGGCCUAACGCAGCGCCGAUUAGGCGUGUGGAACCAACGCCAGCACCCUUGGUGGCGAAUGAAGUGCAGCUGCACGUAGAUGGAAGCUGGAAUCCUGCUGCUCAGCGCAUGGGCUACGAGGCUUUUCUUCAAGACUCGAAUGAAAACUGGCUAUCUGGAGUGUCUGCAAGCAUGGGUACGGGGUCGUCGUUUCUUGUUGAGUUAUUAGCAAUGGAGCACGGGCUCCUCCAUGCUUGGAGUCUUGGUCACCGAGCUGUUCUUUGUAUGGCAGAUUGCAGGCAAGCUGGGGAUAUUGUGCAGCAGGAAGGAGAUGUUUCCAGUUAUUGGGAGAAGGAUGCUAUCGUAAGGCUCAGAGCUUUACUGAGCAGAAACUGGCAUGUGAGGCUUGUAUGGAUCCCUCGUGAGAAGAACUCUGCUGCAGAUACUAUGGCUCGGCAAGCAGUGCGUGACGGAGCAGGGCAUCGUGUUUGAGCCCAACCUCCUUUGGGUGUUUUGACAGCAUUGUAUGCUGAUAGUUUAGUGUAGCCCUUGUUUUAUUUUUCCUAUGUAACCAAAAAAAGUAUACACUAACACUGACUAUCCCUGUAACUUAUGAAUUGCCAGCUAGAGCUCAAUUUUGAGAAUGUAGCUGAUGAAGUGGGGAGCCGAAAGUGACAAGCUUUGCGUACGAAAUUGGACAAGAGCUCAAUUUUUAGAAUGUAGCCGAUGAAGUGGGGAGCCGAAGAGACAAGCUUUGCGUACGAAAUUGGACAAGAUAUCUUUCCAAGACUUAGGAUAAUCUAUAAAUUCAUAAUAUCUAUUUAAAAUCUUAAGUUAUAACAUGUUGAAAAUUGGAAAUGAAUUCAUCCUUAAUAUUACGAAUAAUUGUUAUAGGGUGGAAUCAGUUGAUGCUUAUAGAAGACCAUGUCUUCAAGCUGACUAGC